UCUACGGGAGGCAGCAGUGAGGAAUAUUGGUCAAUGGGCGGGAGCCUGAACCAGCCAAGUCGCGUGAGGGAUGACGGUCCUAUGGAUUGUAAACCUCUUUUGUCGGGGAGCAAGGACUCUACGCGUAGAGUGGUGAGAGUACCCGAAGAAAAAGCAUCGGCUAACUCCGUGCCAGCAGCCGCGGUAAUA
RNAcentral lists this ribosomal RNA (189 nucleotides) under uncultured bacterium. RNAcentral's name for it is "partial 16S ribosomal RNA". It matches the Rfam family "Bacterial small subunit ribosomal RNA", at positions 338 to 525 of the family's 1533-position model. The record is from RNAcentral.